AUCGAUAAUNCACGCUAANUCNUACUUUAAUUUCAAAAUUUAUAUACCGCCAUCUAAAGAAUUAAUUAAAAAAUAUUUCUCAAAAAAAUUUAUAAAAAGUUAGGUCAAGGUGUAAUCCACAUUAAAGAAUUAGAUGAAUUACAUUAAAUAUAAUUUAAAGAUUAUUAAUAAAUACAUUACUAUAAAUAAGGAUUUAAAAGUAAUAUAAUAAUAAUAAUACAAUAUGAUAUAAUAAAUAAAUGUGUACACAUCGCCC
Molecule: ribosomal RNA, 256 nt
Filed under: Coelotinae sp. ZZ045
Lineage: Eukaryota; Metazoa; Arthropoda; Arachnida; Araneae; Agelenidae
Description: partial 12S ribosomal RNA
Source: RNAcentral